This 27-nucleotide non-coding RNA is filed under the name Rattus norvegicus (Norway rat). The record is from RNAcentral. Lineage: Eukaryota; Metazoa; Chordata; Mammalia; Rodentia; Muridae.
UAAGAGCAGUGGCUUCUUGUCUACAGA